AAUGAACGCUGGCGGCAUGCCUAACACAUGCAAGUCGAACGAGAUCUUCGGGUCUAGUGGCGCACGGGUGCGUAACGCGUGGGAACCUGCCCUUAGGUUCGGAAUAACUCCCCGAAAGGGGUGCUAAUACCGGAUAAUGUCUUCGGACCAAAGAUUUAUCGACUUUGGAUGGGCCCGCGUUGAAUUAGCUAGUUGGUAGGGUAAAAGCCUGCCAAGGCGACGGUCCAUAGCUGGUCUGAGAGGAUGGUCAGCCACACUGGGACUGAGACACGGCCCAGACUCCUACGGGAGGCAGCAGUGGGGAAUAUUGGACAGUGGGCGAAAGCCUGAGCCAGCAAUGCCGCGUGAGUGAUGAAGGCCUUAGGAGUGUAAAGCUCUUUUACCCGGGAUGAUAAUGACAGUACCGAGAGAAUAAGCUCCGGCUAACUCCGUG
RNAcentral lists this ribosomal RNA (433 nucleotides) under uncultured bacterium. Its description in RNAcentral is "partial 16S ribosomal RNA". It matches the Rfam family "Bacterial small subunit ribosomal RNA", at positions 29 to 507 of the family's 1533-position model. The record is from RNAcentral.